This 458-nucleotide ribosomal RNA is filed under the name uncultured bacterium. Its description in RNAcentral is "bacterial SSU rRNA". It matches the Rfam family "Bacterial small subunit ribosomal RNA", at positions 340 to 786 of the family's 1533-position model. The record is from RNAcentral.
UACGGAAGGCAGCAGUAGGGAAUCUUCCGCAAUGGACGAAAGUCUGACGGAGCAACGCCGCGUGAACGAUGAAGGCUUUCGGGUCGUAAAGUUCUGUUGUUAGGGAGACAAGUACCAGAGUAACUGCUGGUACCUUGACGGUACCUAACCAGAAAGCCACGGCUAACUACGUGCCAGCAGCCGCGGUAAUACGUAGGUGGCAAGCGUUGUCCGGAAUUAUUGGGCGUAAAAGCGCGCGCAGGUGGUCCUUUUAAGUCUGAUGUGAAAGCCCACGGCUCAACCGUGGAGGGUCAUUGGAAACUGGGGACUUGAGUGCAGAAGAGGAAAGUGGAAUUCCACGUGUAGCGGUGAAAUGCGUAGAGAUGUGGAGGAACACCAGUGGCGAAAGGCGACUUUUCUGGUCUGUAAACUGACACUGAGGCGCGAAAGCGUGGGGAGCGAAACAGGGAUUAGAUACC